This 1147-nucleotide long non-coding RNA is filed under the name Rhinopithecus bieti (black snub-nosed monkey). RNAcentral's name for it is "lncRNA (ENSRBIG00000046173.1)". The record is from RNAcentral. Lineage: Eukaryota; Metazoa; Chordata; Mammalia; Primates; Cercopithecidae.
AUGGAGGACCGGGAAGAACUUAAUGAUGCGAUUCCUUCCGUGAUCUCAGUGACUGUAUCAGGCAAAAACGAGAAGGGCAAAAUACCGUCCAAAUGUAAACAAGGAGCAGCCACACCAGCAGCAGCAGAAUGCCGCGGUAGUUCGGCAGGCCCUGGCCCCAUGGACAAAGAGAAACUCGACAGUGGCAGUGGCCACGAACUCAGAAAGCCUGAGGACACUCAGCAGCUCCUCUGGCUCAUCACUUUCACAUUGGUGCAACUACAGGAGCUGAAGAACAUUUUCCAACUUGUUCCAUACCCGGACGUGUUAGGUAAGUGGCAUGCUCAGGCGGCACCCACUUUUCACGGAGCUGGGGCUGGGCUCAGGGCUUAUUCUCUUUCCCCAGGCCCCUUCCAAACCUUUCUGAGCCAAAGGCUACCUAGGGGUUUCAAGGCUGCUGGGGCCUGUUUGCCCUCGGACUUCAGGGUGGAGGCAAUGCCUCCUGGACAUCAAGGUAAAUAUUUUCAAGCAACAUUUAAAUGAAUCAAGUGGGGAAACUUUGGCCUGAUAACUAGGUUUGUAUAAGUAGAAUUUGAUUGGAACCAGAACCAUGAUCAGUGUGAGGAGAGUAAGGCAUAGUCAUGCAAGUGGAUGGGCAAAUUCUGCUUUUAUUUAAAUAUUUGAUAAUUUGCUCAUAAUAUUUUGAUUUUCAGAGUAGUGCAAAAGUGUUAUUUUCUGGAAUCCUGAACUUUUUUGUGCCCCUUACAUUCAGUAUGGGGGAAAAUCAUUCCUAAAGACAGCCUUAAUCUGGAUAUUACAAAAUAGUGUACUCGGGGAGAGGUGUUGGGGGAUAAGUAUUUAAAAGCAAGCUUGAAAUGAACAACAUAAAUUUUGUUUUAUCCACAACUCUAAAUACUGAACAUGUGUGGUUUUCUCCUUCCAGAAAGGAACUUGUAAGAUGCAUGAGCAUGACUGAAACCAGUGUGCAGGUCACUAUACCUGAAAAAACUUAUUUGGCAGGGCAGCCAUUCUAAAACCUGCUUCAAGACGUAGAUAACAUUGCCCCAGAUAUUCUGAAGUUGGUGUGAUUUUGUUGCCUUUUCCAGGUUUGGGAAAUAAGUUCAUACUUUGAGUUUUUGUGAACAGAAAAUGGGAUAAGAAAACCUCA